CAAGGGAUUAUUAAUGGUUUUCUUCCCUUUCAAACCAAGGGUCCUCAUCAAGCACCUCGCAUCACUAAGGGACAACAUGAAGAUAUGCAACACGCAUCAACAGUUUAAAAUCAGAUGAGACAUUCCCCAUAUAAAAGAAGCUAUUCGAUAAAUGAUAACAGCCAGAGUGCGCUUUUGGCACUUACUUGGAUAGAAGGCUUAUUAAGAUGCCCAAGAUUGGAUGUUGUCUGGCGUGGUUCUUGGCCAAGCAUCAUGGUUUGUGGGUUGAUCAAACGGAAUGCAUCGAUCACCAACUUCCCUUUAACACUCUGAAUUGG
This 317-nucleotide long non-coding RNA is filed under the name Gossypium barbadense (sea-island cotton). RNAcentral's name for it is "long non-coding RNA (GBAR_LNC014115)". Lineage: Eukaryota; Viridiplantae; Streptophyta; Magnoliopsida; Malvales; Malvaceae. The record is from RNAcentral.